Long non-coding RNA from Oncorhynchus kisutch (coho salmon), 1596 nucleotides. The record is from Ensembl. NCBI's taxonomy places the organism in Eukaryota, Metazoa, Chordata, Actinopteri, Salmoniformes, Salmonidae.
CUGGUAAUUCAGAAACAAUAGGCAGGGAGGCCAUUGAUAAUAACAUAUGCAGUCUGCUGGAGACAGAGAGAGGCAGAGAAGGCAGGAAAACACUGGUGAGCGUAUAUGAGAAUGGGGAGAGAAGAAGAGAUGAUAGGAGGAGUGAUAUGAACAACGGGGAGAACAGAGGUAUAGCGAGUGAGUGGCUCUGGACAACAGCAGACAGUGUCUCAGUCAGGAGUUGAGAGAACUAAAAUAUGAUUGGAUGAUAUGUAGUGUAGAGCAGACAGAGCUUGGGGAAGACAGUGUGUGACUUCAUUAAAGGGGUCAGGGCAUAACAGAAGGACAGGCUUACAGAUUCGUGAGCUGGUGGUUGGUCAGAAGCUGCUGGCAGUGUUAUUUUCUCUCCCCUCUCUCUCUUUGCCAUUUCUCUCUCCAGCUAAAGUUUAGGUCAGAGUGAGCUCUAUGGCUGAGUGUAUUCUGUCAGAGCAGAGACACAGGGCUGAAGAUAGAGACAUAGAGUUGAUCACGUGUUACUGUUUCUUCCCUGCUUUGGAAAGUUAAGAGAAUCACUCAAUAUAAAAAGCUUCAGCCCUGACCGAUGGGAUUCCUCUGAAUGACGGGAUACUUCUGAAUGACGGGAUACUUCUGAAUGAUGGGAUACUUCUGAAUGACGGGAUACUUCUGAAUGACGGGAUACUUCUGAAUGACGGGAUACGUCUGAAUGAAUGGAUACUUCUGAAUGACGGGAUACUUCUGAAUGACGGGAUACUUCUGAAUGACGGGACACUUCUGAAUGACGGGAUACUUCUGAAUGACGGGAUACUUCUGAAUGACGGGAUACUUCUGAAUGACGGAAUACUUCUGAAUGAUGGGAUACUUCUGAAUGAUGGGAUACUUCUGAAUGAUGGGAUACUUCUGAAUGACGGGAUACUUCCCUCACUGAGAAUAUCAUGUGGAACUAAAUCUGAAAAAUAUAUUUGGAUUGAAAUGGGAGCGGAGCAAUGGGAGCAGAGCAUUCAGAGUCGGCAGUGCGUUGGGACCAGUAAUGUGAGUCGGCAUCCGCAGGCUGGGCGCGGCCAAGUCCCCACCCCCCUCUUCCCUGAAUGCGACGCAGCUGCUUUUCAGAACCCAACCGCUUGAGUCCAUUCAUCCUGAGAGCGAACAAAACAGUGGCUAUUUAUUAGAAUACUUGUUUUGUAUUGUUCUGCACCAAACAAAAGAGGCGUCAUUAUGUAAGAAGCAAACCCCUUUUCGCCGAGAGAAACAAUAACUUGAAAUGGUAUUUUAGAGUAUAUAAUAAAUGUCAUUUCUUCUUGUCUCUCGCCUCAGUGUGUGUUGAGUGGUGGGUUUGGGCACCGGGCACGGAUGGCACCGACAGCCGCUAGAGUGUAGUGGGGAUGGCGGUCUUACAAUAAGCUUUGGUGGGUUUAGGACGGCGUUAAGAGGAGGGGGAAGGAAUCUUCUCAUACUUCACUGGCUACGAUAUGAGGGACGACCAGGGAGACUUGCCUCAAUUUGCAUAACCUCGGCUGUUUUACACACAAGGAGGUUGGUUAGUCUAUCUUUCCCUUGCCGCGUCUUCAUUUUCUGGUUGCUGUUGUAGAAAUACCUUUC